AGCGAACGCUGGCGGCAGGCCUAACACAUGCAAGUCGAACGAACUCUUCGGAGUUAGUGGCGGACGGGUGAGUAACACGUGGGAACGUGCCUUUAGGUUCGGAAUAACUCAGGGAAACUUGUGCUAAUACCGAAUGUGCCCUUCGGGGGAAAGAUUUAUCGCCUUUAGAGCGGCCCGCGUCUGAUUAGCUAGUUGGUGAGGUAAAGGCUCACCAAGGCGACGAUCAGUAGCUGGUCUGAGAGGAUGAUCAGCCACAUUGGGACUGAGACACGGCCCAAACUCCUACAGGAGGCAGCAGUGGGGAAUCUUGCGCAAUGGGCGAAAGCCUGACGCAGCCAUGCCGCGUGAAUGAUGAAGGUCUUAGGAUUGUAAAAUUCUUUCACCGGGGACGAUAAUGACGGUACCCGGAGAAGAAGCCCCGGCUAACUUCGUG
Molecule: ribosomal RNA, 433 nt
Filed under: uncultured bacterium
Lineage: Bacteria
Description: partial 16S ribosomal RNA
Rfam family: Bacterial small subunit ribosomal RNA
Source: RNAcentral